AGGCCACUGUGGAGGCACUACUUCCAGAACACGCAAGGGCUUAUCUUUGUUGUUGAUAGCAAUGACAGAGAUCGUGUUGUUGAGGCAAGGGAUGAGCUCCACAGGAUGUUAAAUGAGGUAAAUCCUAUUGAAAAGGCCGCAUUCAUGUUUCUCAUUAUCUGUUGCAUGGUAAAUCACAUGCAGCCAUCUCAAAUUUUCUUGGACAAUGGCGGUGAAAUUUUGUUGGAGUGUUCUCUCUAGCUAUGUUCAAAAUGCCACCUGGAUCUAUUAAGUAUUAAUUGAUUCCAGAGCAGUGCAUCAUCAUUGACUUCUGUAUGCAAAAGUUGUGUAAUGGAUUAAGUUUAAAAAAAAGGUGUGCAGUACGGGUGUCCUCUCUAAAAUUAAGAUGGUAAAGCAUGGCAUAGACCGCAACCAACAAGGUAUUGGAAUUACUUGAUCUAAAUGAUGGGAGAUACUAGACAUUUUGUGCCACUGGUGAUAUUACCUACAGUUUCAUAAUCAAUUUGCUAACAUCUAAGUUUGCAACACUUAACUGAUUAAAGGGUCUAAAAUUAAGAUGGUAAAGCAUGACAUAGACCACAACCAACAAGGUAUUGGAAUUACUUGAUCUAAGUGAUGGGAGAUACUCGACAUUUUGUGCCACUGGAGAUAUUACCUACAGUUUCAUAAUCAAUUUGCUAACAUCUAAGGGCCUGUUCGCUUCAGCUUAUUCAGCUGGCUUAUCAGCCACCAAACAGUGUUUUCCUCUCACAACAAAUCAGCCGUUUCAGCUUUUCAGCCGGCUUAUAAGCUGAAGCGAACAGGCCUCUUGCAACACUUAACUGAUUAAAGGGCUAGUGUACAUACUAAAGUAUACUGUAUACAACUAACAUUUGCUGAAUUUGGAUUGUCCUUAGGUGUAGACCUUAAGGCCUAGCGCCCUAGCCAUGACUUUUUUUUGGGAUAUCAUUCAAUCUGACAUACUUAUUUGUAUGUGCAGUAUUUUUGAAAGCAACAAAUACACAGCUGAUAUUUACUUUUCAGAAAUGAAGUGUUGCCUAGGCAACCAGUAGGGGGAAAAUCAGGUCUUAAAUGGUAUAUGAGUUUGCCCUGUGUGCUCAUUUAAGAGUACUCAUUCCAGGGCCUGAAUAUCCUUCUAGGAUCUUGUGUUUUGCAGUUACAUUUGUAUUAAGGUGCAUGGAUCUAACAAUCUAUUUGAAUAAUUAUUAUGGUGGGAUAAGUUUUGAGUGUUCAUUCACAUGGCAUUGGCAGGAUGAGUUGAGGGAUGCUGUCUUGCUCGUUUUUGCUAACAAGCAAGAUCUGCCAAAUGCAAUGAAUGCUGCUGAGAUUACCGAUAAGCUUGGUCUCCAUUCCCUUCGCCAACGCCACUGGUAUGAUAUUACUGAUACUUUUGUUGCAUGUGAAACUGUUCUUGCUUUGCUGUUUUAGGCCAAUCUCAAUGUGGAUCUUCUGUAGUGAAACUGUCAAAGUUUUGCCCGUGGGUUCUAUCUACAAACUAAUUUAUCAGUGGCUUUGCCUAACCUGAUGUACUUUAUUGUCACCUGUAGGUAUAUCCAGAGCACCUGUGCUACCACAGGAGAAGGUUUGUACGAGGGUCUUGACUGGCUCUCCAACAACAUUGCAAACAAGGUACCUAUUUCUUUUCCAUGUGCCAUUAUGACACUUGUUUGUGAAAGCAUCUUCAUUUAAUCUGCAACAAAUUGGACUAUUUUUGUGGAGUGGCACCAAUAUGCUUGUGGUCUAAUGAUCCUUGUUCUCAUGAACGCAGGCCUGAUUGGACAAUUCUGUGGGUUCGUGGAGU
RNAcentral lists this long non-coding RNA (1801 nucleotides) under Setaria viridis. RNAcentral's name for it is "long non-coding RNA (SVIR_LNC005178)". Lineage: Eukaryota; Viridiplantae; Streptophyta; Magnoliopsida; Poales; Poaceae. The record is from RNAcentral.